AAUGAAUGUUGGCGGCGUGGAUUAGGCAUGCAAGUCGUACGCUUUAUGUAGCAAUACAUGAGGAGUGGCGUAAGGGAGAGUAAUGCAUGGUUAGCUACCCUCGGGACUGGGAUAGCGGCGGGAAACUGCCGGUAAUACCAGAUGACAUCUUCGGAUCAAACGUGUAAAUCGGCCCGAGGAGGUGACCAUGUCCUAUCAGCUAGUUGGCGGUGUAACGGACCACCAAGGCUAAGACGGGUAUGGGGCGUGAGAGCGUGCCCCCACUCACUGGGACUGAGACACUGCCCAGACACCUACUGGUGGCGGCAGUCGAGAAUCUUCGGCAAUGGGCGCAAGCCUGACCGAGCGACGCCGCGUGCGGGAUGAAGGCCUUCGGGUUGUAAACCGCUGUCGUAGGGGAGGAAGGCUCCGUGCAGAACGGAGUUUGACCGAUCCUAGGAGGAAGGGCCGGCUAAUCUCGUGCCAGCAGCCGCCGUAA
Molecule: ribosomal RNA, 478 nt
Filed under: uncultured bacterium
Lineage: Bacteria
Description: partial 16S ribosomal RNA
Rfam family: Bacterial small subunit ribosomal RNA
Source: RNAcentral